Aricia agestis (brown argus) is the source of this 192-nucleotide long non-coding RNA. RefSeq lists it as uncharacterized. The record is from RefSeq and is a predicted model, not a curated record. The transcript has 3 exons. NCBI's taxonomy places the organism in Eukaryota, Metazoa, Arthropoda, Insecta, Lepidoptera, Lycaenidae.
GGUGUGGUUGUGAGAGGUGCGUCAAUCAGACGGCAUGAGCAGCACGUGGUCGGCUCCAGGCGACCAAACUCUGCUGCAAGAUAGUAGUGGUCCGUUGUCCGGGACAGAGCAGGGCAAAGUUGUCCGGGAAAGAGCAGGGCAGAGUAGAGUUGUCCGGGAGUAGAGUUGUCCGGGACCGAGCAGGGCAGAGUU